RNAcentral lists this ribosomal RNA (636 nucleotides) under uncultured Clostridium sp. RNAcentral describes it as "bacterial SSU rRNA". It matches the Rfam family "Bacterial small subunit ribosomal RNA", at positions 82 to 737 of the family's 1533-position model. The record is from RNAcentral. Lineage: Bacteria; Bacillati; Bacillota; Clostridia; Eubacteriales; Clostridiaceae.
UCUUCGGAGAAGAGCGGCGGACGGGUGAGUAACGCGUGGGUAACCUGCCUCAUACACAUGGAUAACAUACCGAAAGGUAUGCUAAUACAAGAUGAUAUAAGAGAUUCGCAUGGAUUUCUUAUCAAAGCUCCGGCGGUAUGAGAUGGACCCGCGUCUGAUUAGCUAGUUGGUAAGGUAACGGCUUACCAAGGCGACGAUCAGUAGCCGACCUGAGAGGGUGAUCGGCCACAUUGGAACUGAGACACGGUCCAAACUCCUACGGGAGGCAGCAGUGGGGAAUAUUGCACAAUGGGCGAAAGCCUGAUGCAGCAACGCCGCGUGAGUGAUGAAGGCCUUCGGGUCGUAAAACUCUGUCCUCAAGGAAGAUAAUGACGGUACUUGAGGAGGAAGCCCCGGCUAACUACGUGCCAGCAGCCGCGGUAAUACGUAGGGGGCUAGCGUUAUCCGGAUUUACUGGGCGUAAAGGGUGCGUAGGUGGUUUCUUAAGUCAGGAGUGAAAGGCUACGGCUCAACCGUAGUAAGCUCUUGAAACUGGGAAACUUGAGUGCAGGAGAGGAAAGUGGAAUUCCUAGUGUAGCGGUGAAAUGCGUAGAUAUUAGGAGGAACACCAGUAGCGAAGGCGGCUUUCUGGACUGU